GAACCACACAAACGUUAUUCGGAAUUACUGGGCUUAAAGGGUGCGUAGGCUGUGCGGAAAGUUGGGUGUGAAAGCCCCCGGCUCAACCGGGGAAUUGCGCCCAAAACUACCGUGCUUGAGGAAGACAGAGGUGAGCGGAACUUCGGGUGGAGCGGUGAAAUGCGUUGAUAUCCGAAGGAACACCGGUGGCGAAAGCGGCUCACUGGGUCUUUUCUGACGCUGAUGCACGAAAGCUAGGGGAGCAAACGGGAUUAGAUACCCCGGUAGUCCUAGCCGUAAACGAUGAGCACUGGGUUGAAGGGACCCCCAUAUCCUUUCAGCCGCAGCAAAAGUGUUAAGUGCUCCGCCUGGGGAGUAUGGUCGCAAGGCUGAA
Molecule: ribosomal RNA, 373 nt
Filed under: uncultured bacterium
Lineage: Bacteria
Description: bacterial SSU rRNA
Rfam family: Bacterial small subunit ribosomal RNA
Source: RNAcentral